This 773-nucleotide ribosomal RNA is filed under the name uncultured Neocallimastigales. RNAcentral's name for it is "partial large subunit ribosomal RNA". It matches the Rfam family "Eukaryotic large subunit ribosomal RNA", at positions 24 to 634 of the family's 3401-position model. Lineage: Eukaryota; Fungi; Neocallimastigomycota; Neocallimastigomycetes; Neocallimastigales. The record is from RNAcentral.
GUAGUCUCGCACAGAUGCAUAUCAAUAAGCGGAGGAAAAGAAACUAACAAGGAUUCCCCUAGUAACGGCGAGUGAAGCGGGAAGAGCUCAAAUUUGAAAUCUUAAAGGGUUUCCCUUUACGAAUUGUAGUUUAAAGAAGUGUUUUCUGUUGAGGUUUUGGUAAAAGUUCUUUGGAAUAGGACAUCAUAGAGGGUGAGAAUCCCGUAUUUGACCUUUACUUUCAACUUUGUGAUACACUUUCAAAGAGUCGGAUUGUUUGGGAAUGCAGUCCAAAAUGGGUGGUAAAUUUCAUCUAAAGCUAAAUAUUGGCGAGAGACCGAUAGCGAACAAGUACCGUGAGGGAAAGAUGAAAAGAACUUUGAAAAGAGAGUUAAACAGUACGUGAAAUUGUCAAAAGGGAAGCGUUUGACACCAGUGUUGUUUUUCUGAAAAUCAAUUAAAGAACUGUUUAUGCUAAGUUGUUUAGACUUUAUCAGCUAUCUGUUUAGUUUUGAGCUUUUCUUUAAUGCACUUUUCAGUUAACAAGUCAACAUCAAUUUCUUUUGCUGUAAAAAAGCUUGAGGAAGGUGGCUUGAGAUUCGUCUUAAGUGUUUAUAGCCUCUUGCCUAUGCAGUCGGAGAGAUUGAGGUCUGCAGCGUAGAUCCUUCGGGGCUAAAUGCAUUUGUGCUAAGUUAUAGCAUUUUAUAGACAACUUGUUGACUAUGAUUUGUCUUGUAGCUUACUCGCUAUGUUAUUUUACCUACGCUUAGGAUGUUGACAGCAGUAUAGACUGU